UAGAUUGAAGCCAGUUANCUAGGGUAUUUAGCUGUUAACUAAAAUUUCGUGAGG
Molecule: transfer RNA, 54 nt
Filed under: Canis lupus (wolf)
Lineage: Eukaryota; Metazoa; Chordata; Mammalia; Carnivora; Canidae
Description: partial tRNA-Asn
Source: RNAcentral